GGCCGCGGGAAUUCGAUUUCUGGUUGAUCCUGCCAGACCCGACUGCUAUCAGAGUGGGACUAAGCCAUGCGAGUCAACGUAGUAAUACGUGGCAUACGGCUCAGUAACACGUAGUCAACAUGCCCAGGGGACGUGGAUAACCUCGGGAAACUGAGGAUAAACCGCGAUAGGCCAUAAUUCCUGGAAUGGUUUAUGACUGAAACCUACAUGGCCCCUGGAUUGGACUGCGGCCGAUCAGGCUGUUGGUGAGGUAAUGGCCCACCAAACCUGUAACCGGCACGGGCUCUGAGAGGAGAAGCCCGGAGAUGGGCACUGAGACAAGGGCCCAGGCCCUAUGGGGCGCAGCAGGCGCGAAACCUCUGCAAUAGGCGAAAGCCUGACAGGGUUACUCUGAGUGGUUCCCGCUAAGGGGAUCUUUUGGCACCUCUAAAAAUGGUGCAGAAUAAGGGGUGGGCAAGCCUGGUGUCAGCCGCCGCGGUAAUACCAGCACCCCGAGUGGUCGGGACGAUUAUUGGGCCUAAAGCAUCCGUAGCCGGUCAUGCAAGUCUUCCGUUAAAUCCACCCGCUCAACGGUUGGGCUGCGGAGGAUACUACGUGGCUAGGAGGCGGGAGAGGCAAGCGGUACUCAGUGGGUAGGGGUAAAAUCCUUUGAUCCAUUGAAGACCACCAGUGGCGAAGGCGGCUUGCCAGAACGCGCUCGACGGUGAGGGAUGAAAGCUGGGGGAGCAAACCGGAUUAGAUACCCGGGUAGUCCCAGCUGUAAACGAUGCAGACUCGGUGAUGGGAUGGCCUCGAGCUAUCCCAGUGCCGCAGGGAAGCCGUUAAGUCUGCCGCCUGGGGAGUACGGUCGCAAGACUGAAACUUAAAGGAAUUGGCGGGGGAGCACCACAAGGGGUGAAGCCUGCGGUUCAAUUGGAUUCAACGCCGGAAAUCACUAGUGAAUUC
RNAcentral lists this ribosomal RNA (945 nucleotides) under uncultured archaeon. Its description in RNAcentral is "bacterial SSU rRNA". It matches the Rfam family "Archaeal small subunit ribosomal RNA", at positions 1 to 940 of the family's 1478-position model. The record is from RNAcentral.